CAUAAUGCAUUAGCGUUAUGGCCAUGGUGUUGUCAUGAGUUUUGUAUGGGAGAAAAAAAAUCAAUUUAUCACCCAUUUAUUAUUAUUAUUUUUUAACCUUCUUCACGCAAGCUUAUUUUCUACUAAAACAGUUUUGGAAUUAUUAAAAGCAUUGCUGAUACUUACUUCAGAUAUUAUGUCUAGGCUCUAAGAAUGGUUUUGACAUCCUAAACAGGCAUAUGAUUUUUAGGAAUCUGAACAGUUCAAAUUGUACCCUUUAAGGAUGUUUUCAAAAUGCAAAAAAAAAAAAAAAAAAAACCCCUAAAAGAAUAUUCCUGUUUAUUCUUCUAGGGAAGCAAACUGUUCAUAAUACUUAGGAAGUCUUUUCAGAGAAUUUAAAACAGAUUGCAUAUUACCAUCAUUGCUUUAACAUUCCAUCAAUUUUACUACUGGUAACCUGAUAUACACUGCUUUAUUUUUUCCUCUUUUUUUGCCUCUAUUUUCCUUUUGCCCCCCUCUUUGCUUUGUAACUCAAUAGAGGUGCCCCAACUCACUGACCUAAGCUUUGUUGAUAUAACCGAUUCAAGCAUCGGCCUGAGGUGGACCCCGCUAAACUCUUCCACCAUUAUUGGGUACCGCAUCACAGUAGUUGCGGCAGGAGAAGGUAUCCCUAUUUUUGAAGAUUUUGUGGACUCCUCAGUAGGAUACUACACAGUCACAGGGCUGGAGCCGGGCAUUGACUAUGAUAUCAGCGUUAUCACUCUCAUUAAUGGCGGCGAGAGUGCCCCUACUACACUGACACAACAAACGGGUGAAUUUUGAAAACUUCUGUGUUUGAGACAUAGAUGGUGUUGCAUGCUGCCACCAGUUACUCUGGUUAAAUAUGGAUGUUUCAAAGGGGAAGUCAGCAAUUGGCCAAAGAUUAAGACAGGGUGGAUUGGGGGGAUAAGGAAUCAAAUGCAUCUGCUAAACUGAUUGGAGAAAAACAUAUGCAAGUAUUCUUCAGUACACUCUCAUUUAAACCACAAGUAUACAUAAAGCUAGAGAAAUACAGAUGUCUUCUCUGUUAAAUAUAAAAUAGCAAAUGUUCAUUCAAUUUGGAGACCUAGAAUUUUUCUUCUUAAAUACCAAACAUGAAUACCAAAUUGUAUAAGUGCCAGUUAAUUAUAAGAAAUAUAUCCCCAAAAUGUACCAUCAUGCUCUUCCUUCUACCGUUUGAUAAACUCUACCAUGCUCCUUCUUUGUAGCUAAAAACCCAUCAAAAUUUAGAGUAGAGUGGAUGGGCAUUGUUUUGAGGUAGGAGAAAAGUAAACGUGGGAGCAUUCUAGGUUUUGUUGUUGUCACUAGGUAAAGAAACACCUCUUUAACCACAGUCUGGGGACAAGCAUGCAACAUUUUAAAGGUUCUCUGCUGUGCAUGGGAAAAGAAACAUGCUGAGAACCAAUUUGCAUGAACAUUUUCACUUGUAAGUAGAAUUCACUGAAUGGAACUGUAGCUCUGGAUAUCUCACAUGGGGGGAUGUUUAGGACCCUCUUGUCUUUUUGUCUGUGUGCAUGUAUUUCUUUGUAAAGUACUGCUAUGUUUCUCUUUGCUGUGUGGCAACUUAAGCCUCUUCGGCCUGGGAUAAAAUAAUCUGCAGUGGUAUUAAUAAUGUACAUAAAGUCAACAUAUUUGAAAGUAGAUUAAAAAUUUUUUUAAAUAUAUCGAUGAUGGCAAAAAGGUUAAAGGGGGCCUAACAGUACUGUGUGUAGUGUUUUAUUUUUAACAGUAGUACACUAUAACUUAAAAUAGAUUUAGAUUAGACUGUUUGCAUGAUUAUGAUUCUGUUUCCUUUAUGCAUGAAAUAUUGGUUUUACCUUUCCAGCUACUUCGUUAGCUUUAAUUUUAAAAUUACAUUAACUGAGUCUUCCCUCUUGUUCGAAACCAGCUGUUCCUCCUCCCACUGACCUGCGAUUCACCAACAUUGGUCCAGACACCAUGCGUGUCACCUGGGCUCCACCCCCAUCCAUUGAUUUGACCAACUUCCUGGUGCGUUACUCACCUGUGAAAAAUGAGGAAGAUGUUGCAGAGUUGUCAAUUUCUCCUUCAGACAAUGCAGUGGUCUUAACAAAUCUCCUGCCUGGUACAGAAUAUGUAGUGAGUGUCUCCAGUGUCUAUGAACAACACGAGAGCACACCUCUUAGAGGAAGACAGAAAACAGGUCUUGAUUCCCCAACUGGUAUUGACUUUUCUGAUAUUACCGCCAACUCUUUUACUGUGCACUGGAUUGCUCCUCGAGCCACCAUCACUGGUUACAGGAUCCGCCAUCAUCCCGAGCACCUUAGUGGGAGACCUCGAGAAGAUCGGGUGCCCCCCUCUCGGAAUUCCAUCACCCUCACCAACCUCACUCCGGGCACAGAGUAUGUGGUCAGCAUCGUUGCUCUUAAUGGCAGAGAGGAAAGUCCCUUAUUGAUUGGCCAACAAUCAACAGUUUCUGAUGUUCCAAGGGACCUGGAAGUUGUUGCUGCGACCCCCACCAGCCUACUGAUCAGCUGGGAUGCUCCUGCUGUCACAGUGAGAUAUUACAGGAUCACUUAUGGAGAAACAGGUACAGCAGUAAAAUGCUAUUUUACACUCUGAUUAAAUCAGAUUCUGUUGUGGAUAACCUGAAAGCCCAACAGUGAACAAAGAAUUAAAGAAACUUUGGCAAGUCCAUUCAACGGAGCCCUUGUUUUUUCCAAGAAAAUAUGUAAGAUAUAGAUGAUAUAAUUUGUUCUAAAACCCAAAUAAAAAGUUGUUUAUAUACUACAACUAGAGGGGGAACGGCAGAGCUGAGGAAAUAAAAGCAUUGUAAAUUCACAAACAUAUUAUCAGUGGUGGAAAUAAGUGAUUUUUAUUUUUUCUUCUCUUUACUUUUCUGUAUUUUCCAAAUUUUAUUUAACAGGAAUGUAUUCUGUAAAAUUUUUAAAAAGGACACAAUGUGUGCAAUCCUGGGUUGAGGGCUUACCUUCUCCCACUUUUAAUGCUACUCUACGACACAGUGACAUUUUAAAGCUGAAAUGUUAAAAUAGCGCUAACUGUAAUUUUCUCUCAAUGUUUAUACACUUACCAAAGUUUGCUACAUGCAUAAAUACCCCUUUCUGUUCAAGAUAGUGCUCUUUAAAAGGGAAUAAGCAAGAAGAUGUGAUUUACAUGCUGCUAUAAAUGUGGUAAUUCAAUUAAUCAGUAAUACCCAAGUAGCUCUAAGCCCCUCACGCUCUGAACUAACCCUUUUUCAUACAGGAGGAAAUAGCCCUGUCCAGGAGUUCACUGUGCCUGGGAGCAAGUCUACAGCUACCAUCAGUGGCCUUAAACCUGGAGUUGAUUAUACCAUCACUGUGUAUGCUGUCACUGGCCGUGGAGACAGCCCCGCGAGCAGCAAGCCAAUUUCCAUUAAUUACCGAACAGAAAUUGACAAACCAUCCCAGAUGCAAGUGACCGAUGUUCAGGACAACAGCAUUAGUGUCAAGUGGCUGCCUUCAAGUUCCCCUGUUACUGGUUACAGAGUAACCACCACUCCCAAAAAUGGACCAGGACCAACAAAAACUAAAACUGCAGGUCCAGAUCAAACAGAAAUGACUAUUGAAGGCUUGCAGCCCACAGUGGAGUAUGUGGUUAGUGUCUAUGCUCAGAAUCCAAGCGGAGAGAGUCAGCCUCUGGUUCAGACUGCAGUAACCAGUACGUAACCACUGCUUGGUUUCCAUUUUCAAAGUCCAAUUUUGUUCUUGGGUGUCUGAAUGCCCACCACAUGUCUUUUGCAAUUACACAUAGGGAAAGUGAACUUGUUGGUUAGUUUAUGUCUUGAGCUGAGCCCUUUACGAACAUCUUUUUUCCUUCUCAGUGCCAAGCAAGGAAUUUACAGAGAAAGAAGUUGUGAAACUACCAUAGUUAGUUGCUGUGCUUUGAAUUUCUUUUGCUCAAAUGGCCUCAGCGAAAUCUUAUUUACCUAUAGCAAAUCUACAGAAAAUUUUCCUAGACCGUCUUUUCUACAACUGGAUGGUAAAGUUGAUUGAAGUGAGCCUCAUGUAGCUGUUAUGUUUGGGGCAUUUGAAGGGCUAUGGCUGGACCAGAGUGUAAUAUAAAUGCUUAAUAGAGAUGGGAAAAGAAGAGUGUAAGAACAAUUAUAGGGCUGGGCUCAUGCCUGUAAUCCCAGCAUUUUGGGAGGCUGAGGCAGGCGGAUCACGAGGUCAGGAGUUCGAGACCAGCCUGACCAACAUGGUGAAACCCCAUCUCUACUAAAAAUAUAAAAAUUAGCCAGUCGCGGUGGCACGUGCCUGUAAUCCCAGCUACUCAGGAGGCUGAGGCAGAAGAAUCACUUGGACCCGGGAGGCAGAAGUUGCAGUGAGCCGAGAUCACGCCACUGCACCCCAGCCUAGGUGACAGAGUGAGACUCUACCUCAAAAAAAAAAAAAAAAAAAAAAAACCAAUUAUAACAAUUUGAAUCUGACAUUGCAAAUCAACUUUACCACUCCCAAGGUAUAGAAAAUCCAGGUCUAUGAGACUAACAUCACAUUGUAAAAAUCAAAUCGUGGUAGAUUAUUUUAAAAUUAAUAUAAAUACCUCCCCAUUGUGGGGCAUUUUGCAGGGUAUCUUCUUAUCUCACAUACACCUAUGUUUUAAUAAGUGAUGCAACAUUGCAUAUUUUCUAAACCAAGAAAAAUUAAGCAAGUGUUUAAGUGAUUUUUCCUUUUGAUAGUGGGUUAAUUGGACUUCAUCAAAGAAAAUGGUAUCUGCAAAACUGCUUUGCAUGUUAUAAAAAUGCUUAUUUCACAACUUGCUUUUCACAUAACCUCUUACCAUUAAUUUGCCUAACAGACAUUGAUCGCCCUAAAGGACUGGCAUUCACUGAUGUGGAUGUCGAUUCCAUCAAAAUUGCUUGGGAAAGCCCACAGGGGCAAGUUUCCAGGUACAGGGUGACCUACUCGAGCCCUGAGGAUGGAAUCCAUGAGCUAUUCCCUGCACCUGAUGGUGAAGAAGACACUGCAGAGCUGCAAGGCCUCAGACCGGGUUCUGAGUACACAGUCAGUGUGGUUGCCUUGCACGAUGAUAUGGAGAGCCAGCCCCUGAUUGGAACCCAGUCCACAGGUAUAUGGUUAAUUGCACCACCAGGUGCCCAUGGGAGCAGCGGCUUUAUGCCCUACUGAAUGAAUUAUACUUCACUGGGCUAUUGAUUCCCCUGUAAGGGUGAAAAAAAAUUAUUAGGAAAGAUCCUCUUUAAAGAGGAAUGGUAAGAAACAGUAAAACUUAGGUGAUAUUUAAGGAAACAAGUCUGAUAAAAAGAAAUUUUGGAGUAUCCUGGCUUAUACACAAGACCAUAAAGCAAGACAUUUGAAGAGGAUACUAAAAUUGUGGAUUAUUUCCUAAGCUCUGACUCCCUGUGAUUUACCCUCACUAUGUAUAAAGGAAGGAAGUUUGGCAUCAUAGAGCUUACUUAUAAAAAGGAACCCAAACUUGGGCAUUUCAUAGCAGCAUGAUUCUGAGCACACAUGGGUAAGACCUUUCUUCUCUGGUUAGAUAUCAUAUGCUGAUGUACAAUUAGCUUAAAUGAUUGUGAUUCAGACAUACAGGAAACAACCAAUAGGGCAAUUGCUUUCCAUAAUACUUUAUCUUCUUGUGCUUUAUUUCUGAAGCAGAGUAGAAUGCUAAAGAUGUAUCCUAGUGACAGCAUAAACCCUAGAGGUGACAGUCUGUAUUAUUGCUUUUCGCUUCUCUUUUCUGCUUCUGUUGGGAGCCAGUUUUCUUCUUACGCCGCAUUACAGAGAGAACGUCAAAUUUAGCAGCCAUAUCUGCCAUAGGGUCUAAAUAAAGAGACAAUAAAAACAUUAUUCUCUCUUUUUUGGAUGGAAUACUGUGUAAAAUGGUUAUCCAUACAAAGAUACUUUAUGUAGAAAAAGGAGGCCGGGUGCCGUGGCUCACACAUGUAAUCCUAGUGCUUUGGGAGGCCAAGGUGGGAGCGUUGAUUGAGGCCAGGAGUUCAUGAUCAGCCUGGGCAAUGAAGUGAGACCCCGUCUCUACAAAAAAAUAUGAAAAAAUUAGCGAGGUGUGGUGACACAUGCCUGUAGUCCCAGCUACUCAAGAGGCUGAGGUAGAGGAUCGCUUGAGCCUACGAGUUCAAGGCUGCAGUGAGCUAUGAUAACUCCACUGCACUGCCGCCUGGAUGACAGAGCGAGACCAUUUCUAAAUUAAUUAAUUAAAAAUUUUAAGGCAGAAAAAGGGCCAUUGCUUAUUUUUCCAUACAAAAGUAAAAUAAAUCAUAAUGGCCAAUAAGGCAAUAUAACUUUUUUUUUUUAAGGGAAAGCAAAAAAAACUUCUAAGACCUAAAAUCUCUUAGAGUUUUGGCAUUUACCCAAAUGUUUUCAGUGAUUCUGAGAAUUGGUGGAUAUAAAACACAUUUCUCAGCAAACACUUUCUUCAUUUUGCAUCCCUUAUUGUACUUUCUUGUACUGAAUCUUUGCUUGACCAGGGAACCCACCUAACCCAACAAGAACAAUCCAUUCUACUUCUUGGAACUCACUUUAUUUUCCUUUUUCCCCAUUUCCUAUAAGAUAACCUCUAACCAAUGACAAUCCCAACAGCUAUUCCUGCACCAACUGACCUGAAGUUCACUCAAGUCACACCCACGAGCCUGAGCGCCCAGUGGACACCACCCAAUGUUCAGCUCACUGGAUAUAGAGUGCGGGUGACCCCCAAGGAGAAGACCGGACCAAUGAAAGAAAUCAACCUUGCUCCUGACAGCUCAUCCGUGGUUGUAUCAGGACUUAUGGUGGCCACCAAAUAUGAAGUGAGUGUCUAUGCUCUUAAGGACACUUUGACAAGCAGACCAGCUCAGGGAGUUGUCACCACUCUGGAGAAUGUCAGCCCACCAAGAAGGGCUCGUGUGACAGAUGCUACUGAGACCACCAUCACCAUUAGCUGGAGAACCAAGACCGAGACGAUCACUGGCUUCCAAGUUGAUGCUGUUCCAUCCAAUGGCCAGACUCCUAUCCAGAGAACCAUCAAGCCAGAUGUCAGAAGCUACACCAUCACAGGUUUACAACCAGGCACUGACUACAAGAUCUACCUGUACACCUUGAACGACAAUGCCCGGAGCUCCCCUGUGGUCAUCGACGCCUCCACUGCCAUUGAUGCGCCAUCCAACCUGCGUUUCCUGGCCACCACACCCAAUUCCUUGCUGGUAUCAUGGCAGCCGCCACGUGCCAGGAUUACCGGCUACAUCAUCAAGUAUGAGAAGCCUGGGUCUUCUCCCAGAGAAGUGGUCCCUCGGCCCCGCCCUGGUGUCACAGAGGCUACUAUUACUGGCCUGGAACCGGGAACCGAAUAUACAAUUUAUGUCAUUGCCCUGAAGAAUAAUCAGAAGAGCGAGCCCCUGAUUGGAAGGAAAAAGACAGACGAGCUUCCCCAACUGGUAACCCUUCCACACCCCAAUCUUCAUGGACCAGAGAUCUUGGAUGUUCCUUCCACAGUUCAAAAGACCCCUUUCGUCACCCACCCUGGGUAUGACACUGGAAAUGGUAUUCAGCUUCCUGGCACUUCUGGUCAGCAACCCAGUGUUGGGCAACAAAUGAUCUUUGAGGAACAUGGUUUUAGGCGGACCACACCGCCCACAACGGCCACCCCCAUAAGGCAUAGGCCAAGACCAUACCCGCCGAAUGUAGGACAAGAAGCUCUCUCUCAGACAACCAUCUCAUGGGCCCCAUUCCAGGACACUUCUGAGUACAUCAUUUCAUGUCAUCCUGUUGGCACCGAUGAAGAACCCUUACAGUUCAGGGUUCCUGGAACUUCUACCAGUGCCACUCUGACAGGCCUCACCAGAGGUGCCACCUACAACAUCAUAGUGGAGGCACUGAAAGACCAGCAGAGGCAUAAGGUUCGGGAAGAGGUUGUUACCGUGGGCAACUCUGUCAACGAAGGCUUGAACCAACCUACGGAUGACUCGUGCUUUGACCCCUACACAGUUUCCCAUUAUGCCGUUGGAGAUGAGUGGGAACGAAUGUCUGAAUCAGGCUUUAAACUGUUGUGCCAGUGCUUAGGCUUUGGAAGUGGUCAUUUCAGAUGUGAUUCAUCUAGAUGGUGCCAUGACAAUGGUGUGAACUACAAGAUUGGAGAGAAGUGGGACCGUCAGGGAGAAAAUGGCCAGAUGAUGAGCUGCACGUGUCUUGGGAACGGAAAAGGAGAAUUCAAGUGUGACCCUCAUGAGGCAACGUGUUAUGAUGAUGGGAAGACGUACCACGUAGGAGAACAGUGGCAGAAGGAAUAUCUCGGUGCCAUUUGCUCCUGCACAUGCUUUGGAGGCCAGCGGGGCUGGCGCUGUGACAACUGCCGCAGACCUGGCGGUGAACCCAGUCCCGAAGGCACUACUGGCCAGUCCUACAACCAGUAUUCUCAGAGAUACCAUCAGAGAACAAACACUAAUGUUAAUUGCCCAAUUGAAUGCUUCAUGCCUUUAGAUGUACAGGCUGACAGAGAAGAUUCCCGAGAGUAAAUCUUUCCAAUCCAGAGGAACAAGCAUGUCUCUCUGCCAAGAUCCAUCUAAACUGGAGUGAUGUUAGCAGACCCAUCUUAGAGUUCUUGUUUCUUUCUUAAGCCCUUUGCUCUGGAGGAAGUUCUCCAGCUUCAGCUCAACUCACAGCUUCUCCAAGCAUCACCCUGGGAGUGUCCUGAGAGUUUUCUCAUAAAUGAGGGCUGCACAUUGCCUGUUCUGCUUCAAAGUAUUCAAUACCGCUCAGUAUUUUAAAUGAAGUGAUUCUAACUUGUGAUUUGGUUUGGGAUCAAUAGGAAAGCAUAUGCAGCCAACAAAGAUGCAAAUGUUUUGAAAUGAUAUGACCAAAAUUUUAAGUAGGAAAGUCACCCAAACACUUCUGCUUUCACUUAAGUGUCUGGCCCGCAAUACUGUAGGAACAAGCAUGAUCUUGUUACUGUGAUAUUUUAAAUAUCCACAGUACUCACUUUUUCCAAAUGAUUCUAGUAAUUGCCUAGAAAUAUCUUUCUCUUACCUGUUAUUUAUCAAUUUUUCCCAGUAUUUUUCUACGGAAAAAAUUGUAUUGAAAACACUUAGUAUGCAGUUGAUAAGAGGAAUUUGGUAUAAUUAUGGUGGGUGAUUAUUUUUUAUACUGUAUGUGCCAAAGCUUUACUACUGUGGAACGACAACUGUUUUAAUAAAAGAUUUACAUUCCACAA
RNAcentral lists this small RNA (9174 nucleotides) under Pongo abelii (Sumatran orangutan). Its description in RNAcentral is "retained intron". Lineage: Eukaryota; Metazoa; Chordata; Mammalia; Primates; Hominidae. The record is from RNAcentral.